UUCUGGACUGGCACAACAUGCGACACUAUGUGCGAGUCGCAUGUUGUGUCGCAGGUCAUGCCAGUUGAUCAACUCUCACUGGCACAACAUGCUGUUAUAUCCUGUAUUUUUGAACGUCAGAUUAUUUGCUGAGGUGGGGCCCACACAUCGAGAUUUUUUUGGGACAUCUGAAAAGUCAUAUGAAUCACAUAUGUGAAGUUAAACACAACUCAAGAAGGACCCUUGGGCCAAAUCAAAGUGGAAGUCCUCCAAACGAAUAUUUUUAAGAAAACGUUUUCGGGUGAUCUGACUUCUAGGGGCAAAACCGGUAUUAUAAGUUUGGAAUUUGGAAAAUACCAAGAAAUAGAAGUUGUAGAUAAUUGAAUUAGCUUUCCAACCAUAGGUCGUGGGUUCCCAGGUGACAUCGGUACAAGGAGAUAUGGACGUUUUAAGGUCGAAAGGUCAGUGGGCUAGGCCCAACUCGGGAUCAACCGAGUUGGCCCAAAAAAAUAAAAAACGAAUUAAGGCCCAAAGGAGAGGGGUGGCCGGCCAUCUUAUGGCCCAAGCCCACAAAAUUAAUAAAUUUCCCAUGUGAUAAUUAAUAUAAAGGAUCAUUAAAUUGUCUUGAAACAUUUAGAAGUUUCAAGACAAUUGAGAAAGAGAGAAACAAGAGAAAGAAGAGCAAGAAUAAGAAGGCCAUUUUCGGCCAAGCUCUAGACCAAAAAAAAAAAAAAAAAAAAUUUCAAAAAUCAUUUUCUACCAAUUAAAGGGUCCUUUACAACUUGGUGUAAUUAUUUUGGAAGAAAGAACACUUGUUUCUUCAAGUUGACAACUUGGUCAAGUGAAGAAGAUUGUAGAAAAAGAUUUUGGCGAACUUGAAACUUGAUUUUGGAGACGUGUAUGAAUCGGAAAAGGUCAACAGGUAGACAGAUUUGACUCUUAGAAGCUCCAUCAGCAGUACUGUGGCAGCGCUCCAGUUGUUCCGGAGCCUCAGUUUCUUGGUACUACUUUUGUGUACAUAUUCGGGCACGGUAGA
Lycium barbarum (goji berry) is the source of this 1015-nucleotide long non-coding RNA. RefSeq lists it as uncharacterized. Lineage: Eukaryota; Viridiplantae; Streptophyta; Magnoliopsida; Solanales; Solanaceae. The record is from RefSeq and is a predicted model, not a curated record. The transcript has 3 exons.